UGCCAACGGUGCGGUUCUGAUCCUUGGUUUUCCUGUACUCACUCUUGAGCUGUUUAAGCCACUCCCUAGGCUGGUUACAAGUCUGAUGUAUUUGCAAUGCUGCCAGCUUCUUCGCUAUUUGCUGGUAAUGCUCGAUCAUUCUAGCGUGCUUACUAUGGUUCUACUGGGUUUGCACCAGAGAGCCAUCAAAAUCUGGCUGCACUUUCAUGACAGUGAAGCGACGGACUUUGCAAAAAAGGCUUGUCAAUCUCCGUUGCAAAUGCUGAAAGCUUUCUGAUGGUGUGUUCACAGCUGUCUGGUCAGAAGCCAAUGGAAGGGUUAAUGCUGGCUCACUCAGCUGCUGCAGUUCACCAACCAAGAGGGGUCGAUUCCAUUUUCAUUGGAGUCAAUUGAGGAUUCUUGGGAUAUAGAGGCCUAAGGAAGCUGGCCCAUGGGAUUCUGGGAUACUUUUGACAAGCUCCCAGGACACGAGUCAAGCAGGACUGUUGAUAUUGCAACUCAAUAGGCCUUGAACCCUGGAUCCUGGCAUGGCUUGGCCCCUCCAGCUCUACAGGGUCCUAGGUCAAAGCUGAGAGAUUUGUAGGUAGAUAGAAGGGGAGGUUUAAGCUCAAGCUUGAGUCCAGGUUUACAUUGUAAUGUAACCAUACCCUUAGAAGCUCAUGGUUUGCGAGAGAUGCUUUGAACGAUGAGUGUAUGGACAGCUGCAGGCACUAUUCCUCAUACAUGAAAGCACAUCAGUGUGGUUGCUGAUGUGGUUCAUAUACAAAUAGCAUCUGUAACCCCACUUCGCUUGUUCAUGAUGGUUCUUUGAAAACUCCGAUGCUUCAGUUUAUAAGUAAAGUUACAUUGCCUUUGUUUCUUGUCAACUGAUUUCAUUCCUGUUAUACUACUAACCUUUGUAACUCACUGAGUUCUCUGUACUGAAAUCCGGAGUCUUAUUGUCGCUUGCUUCUCUCCCCUAUGCCUUGGUACAAUUUCCAUUCAGCAGUUGAAGAAACAGCCUAAAUCUGUGACAGAAGACCCAGGUUUCCACUAUAGUUGGUAGCAACUAUUUCCUGAAAUCAGGUAUUCGCACAUUUCCUGCCUGUGUGCUGGCCUAGCUCGCAUGUACAUCGUGUGCCCCACUUCACCAGAGGAAGAAUGUAUUUCUCCUAAAUACAGUGAACUAUACUUAGUAUUUAGAAGGAAAAUGAAACAUAGGAAAGUCUACAGACUACCUUGCUAUCCUGUAGAGAUGGUCAUGCUGUUGAAGUUUGUUAAAGAAAAAUCUUUGGGUAAAAAGGACCUGUUGACACUGUCUACAUUUGAUCCAUUUUUCAAUUUCCUUGCAUUGGUUCAGCUUCAGUUGUGUUAGCAACUUUGAUAGAAUAGUGGUGGACAGCUGCAAGGCUAAACCCUUAACACUGUAGCCGCAGCAGCAGCUGUCCUAGUGCUGGUAAUAGCAAUGGCACUAAAAAUGUGAACAGUGGAUAUUUUUCAGAAGUCAUCCUAGUGUAGAAAGGACUAUUGUUAGAAGUCAUGCCAGAUUUCUGCAUUUCUCUCCAACCAUGGUAUGAAAAUAAUUCAGAAAUUAAAAACAGCCUGGACUACUGAUUUGGAGCUUUUAUCACUUUUGGCCUAUGCCUGGAUCCUCCUUUUUAGUGGGCUAGAAAAAAAGCUCGUCUGCACCUCUACUUGGACAUCCCUAGUAUUUUACUUAAAAUACCUCACUGAUCUACAUAUCCCACUUUCCAGGAGAGCAACUAACAGCUCAGGCAGCAGGUUCUCCAGUCACCUAAUUCCCUGAAGAGAUGUGCUCCUCUCCCAUGUUCUUGCUUUGAAGUGUAAAAUAAUUUAUCCCUUUGUUCUACAAUAGAGUCCAACCCUCCAUAAUUCAAGACCUCUUCAUGCCAUUUGAACUUGGUUUGUUAAAAAUCACACUGCAAUCUUCUCAUUUGGCCAGCUAACUAAAAAAUUCCCCUUUUUACUAACCUGACCCCACUGACUCUUGAUCUGUUUCACUAUGUAAAAUAACCUGAUUUAAAUUCAUUUUUUUAAAUUUAUCUUUAUUCUGGCAGUUGUGACACUUCACUUGGCUUUGAAGUUUUAGGUAUCCUGUGAACAAUGGGUUAGUGACAUCAGCACUGCGGUACUAAUAUUCCAUUCCCAUGAUCACAAAUUAUGAAUGUUAGAUACACAAAUGGAGUAAGGUGACUGCCUGGCUUACAGAUUUUAAUAUACUGAACGUUAUUGAAGGUGUGGGAUUCCAAAAUGAAUGGCGAGUCAACCUACUCCAUCAUAAUAAAAUGUAAAAUAAUUUUUUGAUAGGCCAUUUGAUAUCCAAGGAGGGAAAACAAGGAUAAAAAAGCUGAAGUUCUCAUGGUAUUUUAUUUACAGGCUACUCAAUACAUCUUAUAUACAAAUGGCUUAAAGAAAUAUCAACAAUAAGUAAGCUGAAGUAACAGUUUCAGUAUUUUAAAUUUUGUUGCCCUAAAAUAAUUCCUAUGAUAAGAGUACUUAACCUUGUUCAGCAAAAAUUAGUUUGAAUUUAAGUCCAGCACUUAAUUUUUAAAUAUGAAACACAGUUUAGAUCUGAAUCAGUUUUCUGGAAAUUUUUUUUUAUGGAAUGGCAUACUUAACUGCAGAGAACACAUUAAUACUGCCUCAAACAAUUAUAAGCAUUAACCAAGAUUUUUCCACCAACAUAAUUCAAUUCUGAGACUUUUCAUCCUUUGCCCCGGGGGGUUUAUUUUUCUCUUAAAUCUAAAAGAAAAAUUUAAGAAGUUUGGCUGAAAUUUAUUUCCUCUACUGGAAAUGAAACAUGGGGCCAGAUCCUGUAGUUUGGGACCUAAUGGAGUUUUAGCCUGAACAACAAUUGCAUGGAAGUUACCUGUGCUAGUUUUAAAAUUAGUUUUACAGCUUAUUUAUAAAUCUCAGCAACUGAUGGGCCUUAAUAACUUUCUUCAAACUGGCACUAACUCCUGAUAUAAAUGUAGCAGGAACAGCAAACUCAAAGCAUCAAUAGUUUACAUUAAAACUCCUUCCACCUCUGUUUAACGUUAAGCAUCUGAUGCUUAGGAUGAUAAAGGUAAUAGUAAUUAAAUAUGUAUGGAAUAGGUAUGAAAAAUAUAAAUAUGCAAUUUUUAAGAUGUGUAAGUUUAAUUUUGUAGCAAUUACAUUUGCAUUUAAAGAUCAUUUUGUUACUUGGUAGGGGUUUGUUUGUGUUUUUGGUUCUUUUUUUGCUCUUUGUUCUACUCAGGAUUGCUUUAUCCUAGGAUCAUGAAUUUGUUUUUAUGUUGUCUCUCUCUCCUUUUCAUUUGGCUGAAACGAUGUAAUAUCCUAUUAGUGCAAAUUGUGAUGCCUGUCAUACUUGCUUUAUGUGUUUUUAAUUUUUUUACUCCAGGUAAUGUUGGAGACCACUUAAUUCAAAAUUAAGUAUUCAACGUUGACGUGAAUUCCAAGAACUUUCGAGAUUCUGAAAGUGCUGACAUCUACAUUUCUAGAUGCAUAGUGAGCAAGUAACAGACAAUUUAAAAAUGACAAAAAAGAUUACUGACCAAGUGCUACACUAGAGUUGCCCUGAGUUGUGAGUUUGGAAGAAGUCUGCAUGCUUUGUGGGGUGUUGGUUCUGCUAUCAUCCAGGCCUAAAGACAAAUCCUUCCUUGGAAUUUUAGCUGCUGUUGUGUCAUCUGUCAUUCCCAUCUGCUUCUGCCGUCUACGUUUCUUACUCCACAGUUCAUGACAAUCUUGCCACAAAGGAAGGCUGUAAAGAAGUAUGGUAAAUAUUCAGCAUUAUCUGUGUACAAAAUAUUAAAAUAAAUGCUCAAUAUACAACAUAAGAUCUGAAAAGGUGUCUCUGUAGGGAUUCUUUGAAUCCAUACUCAUAACAAAGGUGUAAUGCAAGCAUAAUCUCAGAAGAGCUUCCUAGAUGGAACUAUUUAUCAACUGGCUUCAUCUCAUAAACAAAUGUCCUCCUGGCAGAACAAAAUGAAUAUUUAUUUUCUCAACAUGACAAUGCUGUCUACUUGGAUUGACAGAGUUUACAAACAGGAAAGGUGCUCUAGUAUAAGAACUCAGCAACUUGCAAUUCUCUAAACAGUAAUCCAGAAUUUUUGCUUUAAAAUAGGGGAAUAAAUGCUUUUGCUUUUUUUUUUUUUUAAACCCUUGUUGUUUGGAGACAUUCAUUCUUCUAAAUACACUUGAAGGUCACUAACUCUAGGAAAGAUGUACAAAAUGUCUGACUAACAAAUCAAACACGGAGCUAGGGAACAGUUCUCAUUCAUAGUACAGGAGCCACUCAACUUUGCAGUUCUCUUAAUGGGACGGUUACUAAUAUCUGUCACAUUAGGUAUUAUGUUUGUACUACCUUUGUUUUCACCACUACGCAAUGAACAUUAAAUACACACUCCCAUUUUGUAUCAGGUAAGCACUGACAUUACCACAGGAAGUAACUUACUCUGGUGGAGGCAUUUUAGCAGGCUCCACAUCUCGCAGAAACUCACACUGAAGAGCCUGUUCAGCUGUGCAACGCUUGCUAGGGUCCAAAGCAAGCAUAUAAUCAAACAGAUCUAAUGCAGCUGGUGGAAUACUGGCAAGAAGGAGAGAAAAAUGGGGGUGGGGGGUGUCACAUUUGUGUUAUUUCAGAUGCCACAUCUUUGUGCUAUAAAACUUGUAUUUUUUAAUUUUGUCAAGUAGCGUUUAAUUGUAUGAUUUAAAACUUGGGCCUUAUAUUAAUACAUUUGUUUUAAAAGUUUUCCUUUUAACAAGGGUCUAAUAUUACUAUACACUUUGGAAUUUAGCACAGACAUUUAUACUUUUUAAUUGGGCUACAGACAAUAAUUCUACUGCUUUAAAGUUACACAAGUAGGCUCCACUAAUAUAAACAGGAUGAUACAUUUUCCUAAACCCCAAAAUAGUUGAAGGAGAAAAGGCAGUUUUUAAAAUAAUCUUACAGAUGUUUUCCGUAACUUUCAUGUUUGUUAUUUGCACGAGACAACUCCAAUGGCAUUAUUUUAGGAUACAUGGCUUAGAGAAUUAGUCUUAUAUACUGAAUUUAUGACUAACAAGUCCCUAAUGUUAGGCAAUCACAGUUAAAAGUGACUAAGUACCCUGACCUGCUUUUAGCCAUAGGGACAAUGAGCAGGUGCAUCCAGGGCCAAAGAGCAACCAUUUCCGAAGUACAAAGCUGACAGGUGGCUGAAAUAUUUGGGUCAAUUCCUUGAUACAUAUACACAGCUCCCAUUAACUAACAACAAUAAUAGCUCGGUGUGUGUAUCAAGGGAAGGAUAGGAACUUCAGGUCACUUCUCUCUACAUUUGACUGAACCCAGAAACAAAUCUUUGAAAAAUACUGAAAUUCUUAAAGGACCUAAGAAAACUUAAUGGAAUACAGAUGGUUAAAUGAAGGCUCCAUCCUUACAAAGCAAACUCUUCUCUCAAUUUUCGACGAUACUGCUUCUUUGGUUUCAUGGUGUUGAAAUAGGCUAACUUUAUUACAUCAGGCCAGACUGCAGGACAAGGACUCCCACAAAUUCGGCUAUACACCAAAAACAAAAACAAACAAACAAAACAAAACCAUCAAUGUAUGAGAUCAAACACAACAAGGUGUGUAGUUGUAGUUUUAUACUCACAGGCACUGUUAAUACAAAGAAAACAAAUUCUAGUCUCCAUGGACAUAUUCACAGGCUGCCUGUGAUCCAUGGCCAUGAGGUUUUUCAAGAGUUGGGGAGGAAGUGUAGGUAAAUAUCCACUCUUAAGAGGCCAACGAAUACGCCACUAGAAAAACUGUUACCUCCCCCACACUUCUCCAGAGUAGAGGCUCUUUAUAAACAAUUACUGUGUUCUUGAAAAUGAUAGAAGACUCCACUUAGCAUACUCAGGUAGCAUCCCAUGGACCCUAAUGCAAGGUCAGUUUCUUCCACAGACGGCUAGACAGGAGAGAAAUUUAAAGGGCAGGAGUGAAUUUGGAUGAGUUUAGAUCUAUUAUGUUUCUCUCUUUUACUCUUGGUGUGGAAAGGAACUCUGACAAAUGACUGGAGUAAACAACACUCCAUUGCUGACUAAGAAUUUAGUUAUCUGCUAAAGAACAGCAAGGUGCCUUGUGAGGACCAAAGGUGGUGGCGGAGAUUUGGUGUUUGAUUUUUAAAUUUAAGAAAAAGGACUGGGGGUUGAAUUAAAAAAAUUAAAACGAUCUUUUGGCCAAAGGAAAGGGUCACUGAGCCAGCCCACCUCCCUAUAUGUGGUUGCACAAGUUUGUCCCUUCCACUGGCUUUGUCUAGCAUAGGAUUUAAAGAUGGGGUGUUCCAAUGUGUUAGCCACCACAUUUUUCAAAAGUCUGUUGUGGACCAGACAGUGUAGACUUUAAUACAAGCAAACCUGAUGGAGUUAAAACCCAAGCUCUCCUCAGGCUUUAACUCAACAAAUCUUAGCCCAUGUUGAAGGCAUUGGGCCUCGUCUACACUAGGCUUUUUCAAAAGUGUUAGUCAGAAGGUAUUAGUAACAUAUUUUAACAGUACCCCUUUCAUCCUAGUCUAGACAAGGCCACUAAGCGUGAAAAGUAGGGUUUAUGUUUUGUGGGCCUUGCAGCCAGAAAGCUAAAUUUGCAUAAAUCCCUGGUUGAUGCUGCUUGUUUGUUUUCAACUUCCACAGCAAGUUUUUCCUAUAAAUAGGGUGGUGUUGGGCAGAAGAGCCUACCACCUUUUAUGGCCCUUGGAUUCCCAGAAGACUAGAAGUAUUUUCUAGAUAGCUAGAGACUUAUCUAUAGACCAUAUUUAUACCACUGUGCUGCCUUUGUGCAUAUUUAUACUAUCUAAAGCAUAUUCUGAAAAAGAAGUUAAGACAAUGCUACUUUUUCCUCUAGACUUUUUCCUGAUCCAAGUCUAUCUGUGGUCUUGAAAUACGGAGGGAAAGACCACGGGGGGAAAUAAAAAAAAAAAAAAAAAUCACAAAAUGUUGAUAGUCACCUAUGUUGGUGGUAGAAGCAUCGAAUUAAUUAAAGUGGCUUGCAGGCUAAAAAUUGACAACGAUAUGACUAAGAACUAUUCCAUUAUAGGUGGUUUAGGUUCCAGUUAAAAUGUGCUGGGAACAGUCAUAAUGUAUUAAAUUUUUAAAUGUGCAGCAACAAUAAAGAGAAAAAAUUAAGCUAUGAACAAUUAGUUGACAGUGUCCUUUUGAUAUCAAAAUAAAUUUUACAAAUGACAUCAACUCACUCUAUACAAAACUAUGUCCAGUUUGGUAAAGAAAGCCAGAACUGGAAUUAAGUGCUACACUGCCAUCUUGUGGUUAAAGCAAAAACAACAAACGUGUAUUCACACAAUAUGAGUUUUGUUUUGAUAGUGUAAAAUGACAACAGGGUGACCAUCGCCAUGUUUUGCUCCUUCUGAAGGGUUGUUACACUUUUACAGACCAACUUUCCUACAUGUUACAUAUAGCAUUUACAGCCCAUGUAACUUAUUGCUUUUCAGAAUCAAAUAUUUGACCUCCUGUGAAAAGAGAUCAGGGUAAAGGACCAAUUCACUGACUCAUCCUCUUUUUCCUUUUGUAGGAAGAAGAUUCCAUCCCACUGCCUAGGCUGAUUAUGAUAUUAGAAGCAGGAGCCAGCAUUUGCCACCUGAAUAGAGAAAAGAGGCUCUGACUCUACUAAUUCAAACAGCUACUGCCUGAGAAGAUCCACUGGGGUGGGAAGGUGAAGAAAGCCUUUACCUCCCCAAGAUAUCUGGCAACUCUUGAGGGAAAGCAGAGAAACACUCCUUCCUGCAGCAGACAGAAGCCAGUUGCAGACAUGUGAGAGAAUGAAGAAGCAACAUAGGACCAGCAGUAUGAGAGAACCUAGCCUUGAGCAAAGCUUUCCCUUUAAAACAGUCAUUCAUUAUUCUCCAUAUUGGCCUUUUAACAUGCUGAUGGGAGAAUGGAGUAAGGAAGCUGCAGUCUCACCUGCUUAAAAGGGUGAGCAUGUCAAAUGCCUCGUUGUGAGACGGGUUUCAGUAAGGGGUAACUCCAGCUGCACUAUAAAAAAUCCUACCUACCACUGCAUUGCUUAUGCCAUGGAAAGCUACUAAGUACUUCUCCAAUUCUGAAUAGUUUGUUUUACAUCUCCCCAAAAGCUACCACCAUUUUUAUUCUGAGAAACAACUCUGACACCUUUUAAAUGUUAAUAUUGUAACUCCAUUUUUUUGAAUGCUCAUGAAAAAUAAAAGUAUUGUCUAUGAUUUUAUAAAGCACCAACCACACUGUGGAAUCAAAAAGUUACCUUAUCAGUUCCAGCUGAGCAAGUUCCUGAUUUGCUUGAAAUAUUGGUUUUUUAGUAAAAAGUUCGCCCAGGAUACAGCUGUAAAAUAAAGUUUUAUAUAAUUCCAUCAAUAUCAUUUGAUAUAAAAGUUAUUUGAGAUUUAUUUUGGUUCAUGAUUUACACUUAACACUUUUGUAUUAAAACUUCUUACCCACAGCUCCAGACAUCUAUGGCUGGUGUGUAUCUUUCCUCUCCAAGCAGAAGUUCAGGAGGCCGGUACCAUAAAGUAAUAACUUUGUUGGUAUAUGGUCGACUGAAAAAAAGAAGAUAGAAAGAUUCAACAUUUCUCUUAAAAUGAGAUUGUAGUGAACUAAUAAAAGUGUGAUGUUUCACUACUAUACUAUUGUUUUAAGAACGUUCCAGUUUUUCAUUCCCUUUACCAAUACUGAGGCUGCUGCCACUAUAUAUAAAGGUAAACAUUGUCACCUAUUUAAAUCUACCAAAGGACAGCCUGAAACAGUAUCUCAGAGAUAAGUAAACAUUCAUGGGGCAUUAAAUAUCAGGCUUCAGAAUUAUAUACCUAUACUGCUAACUAUUUAAUUGCUAAUCAUUUUAGUGAUAAUAAUUUAGUUAAUAUAUCCAUCCACUGCUGUUAGGUGCAGUUACUGGCACAAGGAAGUUGGUUGCUGAAGUGAUGAACAAAGACUUCAACAAUGAAAACAAAAAUUCAAGUCACCUCUGCCGUUGCCCACAAAGGAGAGAAGCAUAGAUGCAGCCCUUCCCUACUAUCACAAGUUUCAACUGCCUCUUGGGUUUCAAAACUCCCAGAUCUUCCCGGAUUCCAACAGCCCCAACUUUACAUUCGCAAGCUAUCAAAACUUCCAGCUCCCACUGAAAGACUUCUGCAGUGUUUGGAGGCAUUGUCACUACAAAAAUCUACUUUAAUUUUAUCAGACUGAAAACUGAAAGUUUGGGGACAGAAUAAAAUAAUGGAAAGUAUCAAAA
Molecule: long non-coding RNA, 9210 nt
Organism: Chelonia mydas (Green sea turtle)
Lineage: Eukaryota; Metazoa; Chordata; Testudines; Cheloniidae
Exons: 2
Source: RefSeq, a predicted model, not a curated record